RNAcentral lists this ribosomal RNA (465 nucleotides) under uncultured bacterium. RNAcentral's name for it is "partial 16S ribosomal RNA". It matches the Rfam family "Bacterial small subunit ribosomal RNA", at positions 338 to 795 of the family's 1533-position model. The record is from RNAcentral.
CCUACGGGAGGCAGCAGUGGGGAAUUUUGCGCAAUGCUCGUAAGAGUGACGCAGCGACGCCGCGUGAAUGACGAAGGCCUUCGGGUCGUAAAGUUCUUUUGACAGGGAAGAAAAUGCCUAUAAGUAACUGUGUAUGUAUUGACGGUACCUGUAUAAGCAGCCCCGGGCAAUUCCGGGCCAGCAGCCGCGGUAAUACGGCGGAGGCGAGCGUUGUUCGGAGUGGUUGGGCGUAAAGAGCACGUAGGCGGUGUUGUAAGUAAUUAGUCAAAGACUAUAGCUCAAAGUUAGUAAGGCUAGUGAUACUAUAAUACUAGAGUAUGAGAGAGGAUGGUAGAAUUCGUGGUGUAGCGGUGAAAUGCGUAGAUAUCAGGAGGAAUACCGUUAGCGAAGGCGGCAAUCUGGCUGGAAACUGACGCUGAGGUGCGAAAGCGUGGGUAGCAAACAGGAUUAGAUACCCUUGUAGUC